CAGCCGCCGCGGUAAUACGUAGGGUGCAAGCGUUAAUCGGAAUUACUGGGCGUAAAGCGUGCGCAGGCGGUUCGGAAAGAAAGAUGUGAAAUCCCAGAGCUUAACUUUGGAACUGCAUUUUUAACUACCGGGCUAGAGUGUGUCAGAGGGAGGUGGAAUUCCGCGUGUAGCAGUGAAAUGCGUAGAUAUGCGGAGGAACACCGAUGGCGAAGGCAGCCUCCUGGGAUAACACUGACGCUCAUGCACGAAAGCGUGGGGAGCAAACAGGAUUAGAUACCCUGGUAGUCCACGCCCUAAACGAUGUCAACUAGCUGUUGGGGCCUUCGGGCCUUGGUAGCGCAUCUAACGCGUGAAGUUGACCGCCUGGGGAGUACGGCCGCAAGGCUGAAACUUAAAGGAAUUGGCGGG
RNAcentral lists this ribosomal RNA (408 nucleotides) under uncultured microorganism. RNAcentral's name for it is "bacterial SSU rRNA". It matches the Rfam family "Bacterial small subunit ribosomal RNA", at positions 509 to 917 of the family's 1533-position model. The record is from RNAcentral.